AGGUGCGAUCCUACCAACACGAAUGCACCAGAUCCCAUCAGAACUUCGCAGUUAAGCAUGCUUGUAUGAGAGUCGUACUAGGAUCGGUGACUCUUGGGAAGUCUUCAUGUUGCAUCUC
This 118-nucleotide ribosomal RNA is filed under the name Lupinus angustifolius (narrow-leaved blue lupine). The record is from RNAcentral. Lineage: Eukaryota; Viridiplantae; Streptophyta; Magnoliopsida; Fabales; Fabaceae.